This 418-nucleotide unclassified non-coding RNA is filed under the name Hevea brasiliensis (rubber tree). Lineage: Eukaryota; Viridiplantae; Streptophyta; Magnoliopsida; Malpighiales; Euphorbiaceae. The record is from RNAcentral.
UGGCAAAAUUAUGCAUUAUUUUUUUGCCGCUACUUGCUGCAGCUCUUGUUGGCAUAUCACGGGUCGAUGACUACUGGCAUCAUUGGCAGGGUGUGUUUGUUGGAGCUAUUUUAGGUCAGUUUUUGUGUGUGAUCACUAAUAGAGAAAGCUAGAUGCAGUUUUUCCCACCCCCAUAUAGUGAAGAAGGGUGGGGGCCUUAUGCGUAUUUUCAGGCACUUGAGGAGUCACAUUCUAAUACAAAUGCAGGGCAGGCUGCAAAUGCACUCAAUAUGCAGGCCAUGGAUGUAGAAGUCGUGAGUUUACAACUCCGGCAAAACGGCAAUGAAUUUACAUCGUUGGAUGAAUUGGAAUCUGGAAGGAGGUGAACGUGUGUAUCUUGUGCUUUGAACAUACGCAUAAGGCCCCCACCCUUCUUCAC